Non-coding RNA from Salvelinus sp. IW2-2015, 2716 nucleotides. NCBI's taxonomy places the organism in Eukaryota, Metazoa, Chordata, Actinopteri, Salmoniformes, Salmonidae. The record is from RefSeq and is a predicted model, not a curated record.
CAGUGUGACUGUGAAUUAACUAUUUGAAAUGGCCGUUUAUGUUAUUCGAUACAAAAUGCCACUUUUGGUAAGAGUAGUGCUUUARCCAUAAUUCAGACUGGCAUUAUCCCGGACAGCUACAGCCGGUUUCGAGGGGUCCUUCAGUCUUGGAAGAAGGCUUUGCAGCUAGCGGUUAGCGGUGGUCAACAUGCCGACUGUCAGUGUCAAAAGGGAUCUUCUSUUCCAUGCCUUGGGCAGAACAUACACUGAUGAAGAAUUUGAUGAGUUGUGUUUUGAGUUUGGACUGGAGCUUGAUGAGAUUACCUCAGAGAAGGACAUCAUCAGUCGUGAGCAGGGGGACACCAAGGCAGAGGGGGCAUCUGAUGUGAUUCUGUAUAAGAUUGAUGUCCCAGCUAACCGCUAUGACCUGCUGUGUCUGGAAGGACUGGUCAGGGGCCUGCAGGUCUUCAAGCAGAAGAUGGAAGCACCUCGCUACAGGCGUGUGAGUCCAGCCAACGGAGAGCCUCAGAGGCUGGUCAUCACAGAGGAGACGGCUGCUGUGCGACCCCACGCUGUGGCUGCAGUUUUGAGAAACAUCACCUUCACACUGGAACGCUACGACAGCUUUAUCGAACUACAGGAGAAACUCCAUCAGAACGUCUGUAGGAAAAGGACUCUGAUUGCCAUCGGCACCCAUGAUCUGGACACCAUUUCAGGCCCCUUCACCUACACAGCCAAACCACCUGGUGACAUCCGCUUCAAACCUCUCAACCAGGCAAAGGAGUACACCGCACAGGAACUCAUGAGCCUCUACAAGACAGACAGCCACUUGCGACACUAUCUGCACAUUAUUGAAGACAAGCCUGUAUAUCCUGUCAUCUAUGACAGCAACGGCAUUGUACUGUCUAUGCCUCCAAUCAUCAAUGGGGACCAUUCCAAAAUCUCCUUGAAUACAAAGAAUGUUUUUAUCGAGUGCACAGCCACUGAUCUUACCAAGGCAAAAAUCGUGUUGGACAUGAUGGUGACGAUGUUCUGCGAGUAUUGUGAGGAGCCUUUCACGGUAGAGGAGGCUGAGGUGGUGUACCCAGAUGGCAGGACCUGCCUGUACCCGGAGCUGGCUUACAGGAAGGAGACUCUGUCAGCAGACUUCAUCAACCGCAAAGUUGGCAUCAGUGAGUCGACUGAGCACAUCGCCCAGCUGUUGACCAAGAUGUGCUUGCGCUCAGAGGUCACAAGCGACGGRGAACAGAUCGAYGUGGAGAUCCCGCCCACGCGCUCUGACGUCAUCCACGCCUGUGACAUCAUGGAGGACGCCGCCAUGGCGUACGGUUUCAACAARAUUCCCCGCACCACGCCGCGCACCUAUACCGUAGCCAAUCAGCURCCACUGAAUAAGCUGUCAGAGCUGCUGAGACAGGACCUGGCUGCUGCUGGAUUCACAGAGGCCCUCACCUUCGCCCUGUGUUCUCGGGAGGACAUAGCUGACAAGCUGUUGAAGAACAUCUCAGAGACCAGAGCAUGUCACAUCUCCAACCCCAAGACAGCUGAGUUCCAGGUGGCGCGCACCACCCUGCUGUCAGGCCUGCUGAAGACUGUUGCUGCCAACAGGAAGAUGCCUCUGCCUCUGAGGCUGUUUGAGAUUUCAGACGUGGUGCUCAAGGAUGAAACCAAAGAUGUGGGGGCCAGGAACAACCGUCGUCUGUGUGCUGUCUACUACAACAAGAGUCCUGGGUUUGAGGUGAUCCACGGCCUGAUGGACAGGGUCAUGCAGCUGCUGGAGGUCAAACCAGGCCAGGGCAAUGGCUACCACAUCCAGGCUGCCGACGAUUCCACCUUCUUCCCUGGUCGCUGUGCUGAGAUCUUUGCACGCGGGAAGAGCAUAGGACGCCUCGGGGUCCUUCACCCUAAUGUCAUCAACCACUUUGAGCUCACCAUGCCAUGCUCCGCCCUGGACAUCGACAUCGAGUCCUUCCUGUGAUGUCACAACCACACCCUGGGUGUGAUGUCACACCCAGACACACACCGAACUUGUAAGACCACCAAACUCAUCAACCAACACAGGUUAAUUUACUCAUGCUCAGUCCAUCCCAACACAGGUUAAUUUACUCAUGCUCAGUCCAUCCAACACGGGUUCAUUUACUCAUGCCAGUCCAUCCCAACACGGGUUAAUUUACUCAUGCCCAGUCCAUCCCAACACGGGUUAAUUUACUCAUGCCCAGUCCAUCCCAACACGGUUAAUUACUCAUGUCAGUCCAUCCCAACACAGGUUAAUUACUCAUGCUCAGUCCAUCCCAACACGGGUUCAUUUACUCAUGCUCAGUCCAUCCCAACACGGGUUCAUUACUCAUGCCCAGUCCAUCCCAACACGGGUUUCAUUUACUCAUGCCCAGUCCAUCCCAACACGGGUCAUUUACUCAUGCCCAGUCCAUCCCAACACGGGUUCAUUUACUCAUGCUCAGUCCAUCCCAACACGGUUCAUUUACUCAUGCUCACCAUCCCAACACAGGUUAAUUUACUCAUGCUCAGUCCAUCCCAACACGGGUUCAUUUACUCAUGCCCAGUCCAUCCCAACACAGGGUUCCCAGCUCCAGCAGAGUACAGGCCCAACCCGCUCCAGCGGAACUCACGUUUUCACGCAAAUCUCCCGUUGACAUCACAUUGAAAGCUUGAGAUGAGUAAAGUGCAAAAGUUAGGAUUCGGGCCCAAAUUAAUUGUUCAGUUGAUAUCAUGCAAGGUA